CGAGGCGCCCGCGGCUCUUGCUCGGCUCGCAGUUGCACAACCUUGAGCCCGUGGAAACUUGAAGCCGCGUGUCCUGCUGACCCUCGGUACCCGGGCACCUCUGCACCCUCUCUCUCCAACCUCCACCCCCUUCCCUCCCGGGCGCCACCAAGAUCCCGGCCUUGUACUCGGCCCUGCGUCCUCCCCUCGGCUCCUAGACGAGCUAGGUGCAGCUUGGAAGCCGGCUCAGAGGGUUGGGAACGGUUUCGCCUGGGAAGGCCUGCAGUGCUGGGCCUGUGAAGAUGGAGAGCUUUUUGGCUUGUGUCCGAUUGCAGCUCGGCUGCCUUCAUAUUUGAUGCUGGCUUCACUGUGCAGAGACUGUGGCUGGCAGCCAUCUUCCAGCACAGUUGAGAGUCACCGAGCUAUGGAUGCUACAGUGUUAGGCUGAAGAUACAGAGGAUGAUUGCAUGGCUCUUUGACAACACCGUCAGAAGGUUGAUUGUUAACAACUGUAAUUUUCACCAAGAAACAAAUCAUCAUUUCCAGUUUCCCCGGAUGUGCCGUGCAUCUCUGCUGCCUGUUAUGCUUCUAUGAGGAUAUGUUCUGGUGGAAUCACCGCAAGUUGAAAAUUUUCAUUAAUUCAAACUACAGAAACGAAGAAAGGCCAGUGAGAGACGAUGGUUCGUGAAGUCGUGUUUAUUGAGCAUGUACAAUACACAUUGGCCAUUGUGGGUGAAGCAGAGCCACUGAGGAAUGAAGUGAGCUCACUCCAUGGGUAAAGGGCACACCUCUGCCUUGAGUAGUUGGCCCCUUCCCUUCCAGGCUCUUGCAGUAGAGUUUUGUUUGGUUGGUUUUAGUCUGAUGUUUUCCUACUGGGAUGUUAAUCAGGAUGCCUGAAACAGAUGGCAUCUUCAUAUGGACAGUUGAGUACAGAGUAGCAGCAGCAGCAUGCUGAUAAAAUAAUGGCAGGGUAAAGGAGACAGAAGGGAGGUUGUGAAACAUUUGGGUUUGGGCUAAAGGAUAAGUGGAGUCCGCAGUUCAGGAAUCCUUUGAGAGGGAGCCUCAUGGGGAGGGUCUCUAGAUAGGAUCUGUGGUCCGUGCUAGAAGGAUGCAGCCAUGUCCCAGUGACUUAGAAGAAGGAGUCAAGAGACCUCACCACCAUCUCCUCCUUUUAACUUCCUGCUAGUGCCUCCAUUGUAAAACCUACCCAGGAGCUGGAGGUCCAACAAAGCCCACUCAUGGAUGCCGUUACUCAGCCUCCAGGGGGCACACUGGAGGCCGAGAAGGUUAGCAUUGGGU
This is a long non-coding RNA of Meriones unguiculatus (Mongolian gerbil), 1278 nucleotides long. RefSeq lists it as uncharacterized. The transcript has 5 exons. NCBI's taxonomy places the organism in Eukaryota, Metazoa, Chordata, Mammalia, Rodentia, Muridae. The record is from RefSeq and is a predicted model, not a curated record.